Molecule: ribosomal RNA, 922 nt
Filed under: Chiloplacus propinquus
Lineage: Eukaryota; Metazoa; Nematoda; Chromadorea; Rhabditida; Cephalobidae
Description: SSU rRNA
Rfam family: Eukaryotic small subunit ribosomal RNA
Source: RNAcentral
AAAGAUUAAGCCAUGCAUGUCUAAGUAUAAACGAUCUAAUCGUGAAACCGCGAAUGGCUCGUUAUAACAGCUAAAAUCUACUUGAUCUUGACACAAUCCUACUUGGAUAACUGUGGUAAUUCUAGAGCUAAUACAUGCAUUAAAGCUCUGACCUCACGGGAAGAGUGCACUUAUUAGAACAAAACCAAGCGGCUUCGGCUGUUUCUGGUUGACUCAUAGUAACUGAGCUGAUCGCACGGUCUUGCACCGGCGACGUGUCUUUCGAGUAUCUGCCGUAUCAACUUUCGAUGGUAGUGUAUCUGACUACCAUGGUGAUCACGCGUAACGGAGAAUAAGGGUUCGGCUCCGGAGAGUUCGCCUGAGAAAUCGCGAACACAUCUAAGGAAGGCAGCAGGCGCGAAAAUUACCCACUCUCAGCACGAGGAGGUAGUGACGAAAAAUAACGAGACCGUUCUCUUAUGAGGCCGGUCAUCGGAAUGGGUACAAUUUAAACCCUUUAACGAGUAUCUAUGAGAGGGCAAGUCUGGUGCCAGCAGCCGCGGUAAUUCCAGCUCUCAAAGUGCAUAGAAUUAUUGCUGCGGUUAAAAAGCUCGUAGUUGGAUCUGUGCCAUAGGACGUGGUCCACCUUCUGGGUGCGUACUAUGUUCCUAGGCUUUUUGCUGGUUUUCCCGUCGUAGCCUUAACUGGUUGCGGCGGGUGGCUGGCGAGUUUACUUUGAGAAAAUCAGAGUGCUCAACACAGGCGUAUCGCUUGAAUGAUUGUGCAUGGAAUAAUAGAAAAGGAUUUCGGUCCUCUUUUAUUGGUUUUGUGGACUGAGAUAAUGGUUAACAGGGACCAACGGGGGCAUUCGUAUCGCUGCGUGAGAGGUGAAAUUCUUGGACCGUAGCGAGACGCCCUACUGCGAAAGCAUUUGCCAAGAAUG